AUGGAACUAAGGUUCCGACGACGACAAGCUAGCACUGUGUUAUUGGUGGUGGUAGCGGAUGGUGAUGGCAUAAGGUUUUAGGGUUCUGGUGUUCAAGUGACAUCAGAGACGGUGAGGGAAACAAUUUACAUCUUUUUCAUUGCCAAGCAUCAGGGUUUCUCGACCUUCAGUCUCCAAAAUGUUAUCACUAAGUGGCAAAGACAUAAACAUGUAGUAUAGUAUUUGGGUCCAUGGUUGUUGUAUUUCAGCUUGUUGACAGAUUGGAUGAAGGGAUUAUUUCACCAGAUCUUGGAACACUUGAUUACAAAGGUCUUUACAAGACAAUGUGUGUGAUGUGGUUGAAGUGGCCGGGCGAAUCGUUAUGUCAACAACAUUAACUGUUACAGCCGAUCUUACUCAUAAGCAAGGGUGGAUGUUGCGGGGCAUGAAAUCGGGAUAGCGUGGGCAGUUUUCAAGAUCCAGAAGGCAGAGCGUUCUGAAACCGACGAAUCUCAUGAAAGCUCCAAGUCGGCUUCCUCCAAAUCAUAGUCGUGAAUGAGCCAUGGUUCUUGAUAUAUCUAACUACUAAUAAACUGUAACCAGUUUAAUGUAAUUAUUACUAAUAAACUGUAACUAAUUUGAUGUAUGUAAUUACUAAGUUGGGUUUGUCCAAAUAUAUGUAAAUACCAUGAAACAGGAUAUGAGGA
This 686-nucleotide long non-coding RNA is filed under the name Helianthus annuus (common sunflower). The record is from RNAcentral. Lineage: Eukaryota; Viridiplantae; Streptophyta; Magnoliopsida; Asterales; Asteraceae.